CACGUAGUUAGCCGUGGCUUCCUCCUCCCUUACCGUCAUUAUCGUCAGGGAAGACAGAGCUUUACAACCCGAAGGCCUUCAUCGCUCACGCGGCGUCGCUGCGUCAGGGUUUCCCCCAUUGCGCAAUAUUCCCCACUGCUGCCUCCCGUAGGAGUCUGGGCCGUGUCUCAGUCCCAGUGUGGCCGACCACCCUCUCAGGCCGGCUACCCAUCGUCGCCUUGGUGAGCCAUUACCUCACCAACUAGCUAAUGGGCCGCGGGCCCAUCCUUGAGCGGAAUUAACCUUUGGCUAAGACGCCAUGCGGCAUCUUAGCGUUAUGCGGUAUUAGCAGGCCUUUCGACCUGUUAUCCCCCGUCUCAAGGGCAGGUUACCCACGUGUUACUCACCCGUCGCCGCUAAGGUUCAAGAGUAAACUUCUCUCCCUCCGCUCGACUUGCAUGUGUUAGGCACGCCGCCAGCGUCGUCCUGUAGCCAGGACGUCAAACUC
RNAcentral lists this ribosomal RNA (487 nucleotides) under uncultured Caloramator sp. RNAcentral's name for it is "partial 16S ribosomal RNA". Lineage: Bacteria; Bacillati; Bacillota; Clostridia; Eubacteriales; Clostridiaceae. The record is from RNAcentral.